AUUGAACGCUGGCGGCAGGCCUAACACAUGCAAGUCGAACGAGUGGCGGACGGGUGAGUAAUGUCUGGGAAACUGCCUGAUGGAGGGGGAUAACUACUGGAAACGGUAGCUAAUACCGCAUACCAUCAGAUGUGCCCAGAUGGGAUUAGCUUGUUGGUGGGGUAACGGCUCACCAAGGCGCCGAUCCCUAGCUGGGCUUAGAAGAUGACCAGCCACACUGGAACGGAAGCACGGUCCAGACACCAACGCGAGGAAGGAGUGGGGAAUAAUGCACAAUAGGCGCAAGCCUGAUGAAGCGAUGCCGCGUGAAUGUAGAAGGCCUACGAGUUGUAAAGUACUUACAGCGGGGAGGCAUUACCCGCAGAAGAAGCACCGGCUAACUCCGUGCCAGCAGCCGCGGUAAUUC
This 406-nucleotide ribosomal RNA is filed under the name uncultured bacterium. RNAcentral describes it as "partial 16S ribosomal RNA". It matches the Rfam family "Bacterial small subunit ribosomal RNA", at positions 30 to 526 of the family's 1533-position model. The record is from RNAcentral.